GAUGAACGCUGGCGGCGUGCUUAACACAUGCAAGUCGAACGGUGAAGCAGAGCUUGCUCUGUGGAUCAGUGGCGAACGGGUGAGUAACACGUGAGCAACCUGCCCCUGACUCUGGGAUAAGCGCUGGAAACGGCGUCUAAUACUGGAUAUGAGCUGCGACCGCAUGGUCAGCAGUUGGAAAGAUUUUUCGGUCUGGGAUGGGCUCACGGCCUAUCAGCUUGUUGGUGAGGUAAUGGCUCACCAAGGCGUCGACGGGUAGCCGGCCUGAGAGGGUGACCGGCCACACUGGGACUGAGACACGGCCCAGACUCCUACGGGAGGCAGCAGUGGGGAAUAUUGCACCAUGGGCGAAAGCCUGAUGCAGCAACGCCGCGUGAGGGAUGACGGCCUUCGGGUUGUAAACCUCUUUUAGCAGGGAAGAGGCGAAAGCGACGGUACCUGCAGAAAAAGCGCCGGCUAACUACGUG
This 467-nucleotide ribosomal RNA is filed under the name uncultured bacterium. RNAcentral describes it as "partial 16S ribosomal RNA". It matches the Rfam family "Bacterial small subunit ribosomal RNA", at positions 28 to 507 of the family's 1533-position model. The record is from RNAcentral.